GGGCGUAUAACUCAGCGGUAGAGUGCUACCUUCACACGGUAGAAGUCUCAGGUUCGAAUCCUGAUAUGCCCACCA
Molecule: transfer RNA, 75 nt
Filed under: Holophaga sp.
Lineage: Bacteria; Pseudomonadati; Acidobacteriota; Holophagae; Holophagales; Holophagaceae
Also listed under: 3 other names
Description: tRNA-Val
Rfam family: tRNA
About the family: Transfer RNA (tRNA) molecules are approximately 80 nucleotides in length. Their secondary structure includes four short double-helical elements and three loops (D, anti-codon, and T loops).
Source: RNAcentral